Long non-coding RNA from Homo sapiens (human), 758 nucleotides. RefSeq lists it as uncharacterized. Lineage: Eukaryota; Metazoa; Chordata; Mammalia; Primates; Hominidae. The record is from RefSeq and is a predicted model, not a curated record. The transcript is spliced from 5 exons.
CAAUUCUCUACCCAACUCUCCCCUGAGUUCUGAUUAUUGUGUCAAAACUACUCACAGAAUGCUGGUUCCUGGUAUUCCACAGACUGUAAUGCAAUUGAAGGAUUGAAGGUAGGGACUGAACCUCAUGCAUCUGUGAGUUCACAGCAUCUACAAAGCUUGGUGUGCAGUUGUAGGGAUGUAUAUGUGAACUCUUGGUUAGCGGAGUGCAAAAACACUGAAUUUAAAUUUAAAAGAUGAAGCUUAGGUGUUGACUCCAUCAUUUAUCAGCUGUGUGACUUUGGGGCCCAUGGGACACCGUAGUGGAGCUGUCCAACAGGUGCUUGUUUAUAUCAGUCUGGCCUGAGGAUUUAGAGUUGGAAAAUUACCACCAUUCAAAGGUCUUGUUCAGUUUGCUGUGUUCUCUACUGCCAUCUGGUGGUCAAGAAGGAUCAAUCACUGCCCUUGCAAUGAAGAACUCUAUGAAAGCGAAGGCUUGGCCAUUUUGUGUUCAGCUCCUUCCAAUGAUGAGGAACAAAGAGGGAACAACUUUUAAAAGAUGACAGGGAUUCAAACACAGGACUGUUUGACUCAAGCUCCAAAUCCUUCCAUUCUACUAGUUGGCCAUAACUACACCCACGACUGCACUUCAGACUCCUGAUAACCAAGCCCCAAGAAUGGAAACUGUUUUAGUGGGAUUAAUACCCAAAGCUGACUAGAAGUUCCCUGAUCCACUUUUGUUGCUAGCAUUCUGGGCAGGAAUCUUUCAAGCCAUUGAGUUA